AGAGUUUGAUCCUGGCUCAGAUUGAACGCUGGCGGCAUGCCUUACACAUGCAAGUCGAACGGCAGCACGAGAGCUUGCUCUUGGUGGCGAGUGGCGAACGGGUGAGUAAUAUAUCGGAACGUACCCUAGAGUGGGGGAUAACGUAGCGAAAGUUACGCUAAUACCGCAUACGAUCUACGGAUGAAAGUGGGGGAUCGCAAGACCUCAUGCUCAUGGAGCGGCCGAUAUCUGACUAGCUAGUUGGUGGGGUAAAAGCUCACCAAGGCGACGAUCAGUAGCUGGUCUGAGAGGACGACCAGCCACACUGGAACUGAGACACGGUCCAGACUCCUACGGGAGGCAGCAGUGGGGAAUUUUGGACAAUGGGCGCAAGCCUGAUCCAGCAAUGCCGCGUGAGUGAAGAAGGCCUUCGGGUUGUAAAGCUCUUUUGUCAGGGAAGAAACGGUGGACUCUAAUACAGAUCACUAAUGACGGUACCUGAAGAAUAAGCACCGGCUAACUACGUGCCAGCAGCCGCGGUAAUACGUAGGGUGCAAGCGUCAAUCGGAAUUACUGGGCGUAAAGCGUGCGCAGGCGGUUGUGCAAGACAGAUGUGAAAUCCCCGGGCUCAACCUGGGAAUUGUAUUUGUGACUGCACGGCUAGAGUGUGUCAGAGGGGGGUAGGAUUCCACGUGUAGCAGUGAAAUGCGUAGAGAUGUGGAGGAAUACCGAUGGCGAAGGCAGCCCCCUGGGAUAACACUGACGCUCAUGCACGAAAGCGUGGGGAGCAAACAGGAUUAGAUACCCUGGUAGUCCACGCCCUAAACGAUGUCUACUAGUUGUUGGGUCUUAAUUGACUUGGUAACGCAGCUAACGCGUGAAGUAGACCGCCUGGGGAGUACGGUCGCAAGAUUAAAACUCAAAGGAAUUGACGGGGACCCGCACAAGCGGUGGAUGAUGUGGAUUAAUUCGAUGCAACGCGAAAAACCUUACCUACCCUUGACAUGUCUGGAAUCCUUGAGAGAUCAGGGAGUGCUCGAAAGAGAAUCAGAACACAGGUGCUGCAUGGCUGUCGUCAGCUCGUGUCGUGAGAUGUUGGGUUAAGUCCCGCAACGAGCGCAACCCUUGUCAUUAGUUGCUACGAAAGGGCACUCUAAUGAGACUGCCGGUGACAAACCGGAGGAAGGUGGGGAUGACGUCAAGUCCUCAUGGCCCUUAUGGGUAGGGCUUCACACGUCAUACAAUGGUACAUACAGAGGGCCGCCAACCCGCGAGGGGGAGCUAAUCCCAGAAAGUGUAUCGUAGUCCGGAUUGUAGUCUGCAACUCGACUACAUGAAGUUGGAAUCGCUAGUAAUCGCGGAUCAGCAUGUCGCGGUGAAUACGUUCCCGGGUCUUGUACACACCGCCCGUCACACCAUGGGAGCGGGUUUCACCAGAAGUGGGUAGCCUAACCGCAAGGAGGGCGCUCACCACGGUGGGAUUCGUGACUGGGGUGAAGUCGUAACAAGGUA
Molecule: ribosomal RNA, 1491 nt
Filed under: metagenome
Description: bacterial SSU rRNA
Rfam family: Bacterial small subunit ribosomal RNA
Source: RNAcentral